Molecule: long non-coding RNA, 1463 nt
Organism: Entelurus aequoreus (snake pipefish)
Lineage: Eukaryota; Metazoa; Chordata; Actinopteri; Syngnathiformes; Syngnathidae
Exons: 4
Source: RefSeq, a predicted model, not a curated record
CCAUUGAUAAUGGGAGAAAGAUGUGAUGUAAUUUACUGGCACUCUUGAGCUCCGAGAGACGCCGAAGAGGAGCGAGCCUCCUUCCCCCGCGUGACGAUCCAGUGUGGCACCAUGUCGAGGAGGCUGGCAAUGGGAUAAGGCACGUCCGAACAUGCUGCUUCUUCUCCGGCUCCUUCCAAAAUGUGUCCCCCGACGGUGCGUUUGUGAGCCACUCGGAUGCGUGUCCUACAUUUAGAGCGCACUUGGUCAUGAACUGAGAACCAUCUCCAGAGCAAAUGUCAGACGCCAUGUUGUAGAGAGGAUCGUCGGGACUCUCGUGGACGACAAACACAGGAACAAAAUGGUUGUCGUGCCUGGGGGAAUGGUAAUAGGUGUCCAAAAGGGAAGUUCUUGAACGUCUUACAGCUGGCCCCGAAGUCAAACACCUCUUGUGGAUCACUGUAGUCUGCCAGCUGCUGACCGAUGUCGACAACGAGGUCGUCCGUGGCGUCGCCGUUCAUGUUUCCCAACAAUCCCUCCGUGGAGUUUCGGAAUUCUUCGGCACCUGGAGGCGGCUGUGACCAGGUAACAGUCGCACCUCGAUGACAUCGGAGGACGCCUCUUUCAUGGCGACGGACGACAGCUUUGUCGCGUUGACGGCCGUCCCUGUGAACGAGGGCGCAGAAUGGACACCAGGCUCCUUGCGAGCAAAACGGUUUGCGGCGGCCUCUGCUCACCGUUGACCGGCUCUGUUCUGCCUUGGACUGCCAGUCCUUUCCCGGCCGACGUCAACAAUCUGUACUCGCCUUUGCCAUUGAAGGAGUAGCGCACUCCGUCGAAAGUUAUGAAGUGUGGAUCUCCAAACACCACGGCUACGAGACGCAUCUCGUGGUUAGUGUUGAUCUGACAGCGAGUGGAUGACAGUGAAAUAAAUACCAGAGUUGGGAGGUUGGUAGCGCCGACAGUCGCUGGAGGGCCGGUGUUUGAAGUAAUAGUGGCAGUUGUCGGACCACAGGCAGCAGUAGUAGAAGCUGAGGACGUCGUAGACCCAGUGGGACUGUCCAGGGACCCUUGGGGGCUUCCUGUAAGGAGGCGAACCCCAAUCGUGGGCUCGGUCUGGCGUGCUGCCGCCGAUGGAGUCUGCCGUUAGCACCUGAGCGCCACUGCUGUCGUAGCAACACUGCUGCCCGGCUGCAUACUUGGGACUGCAGCAAGGAAACAUUCUGAAUGUAGACUUCCACCAAGGCCGGGCAAUCCAAAUUUGGAUCAGCAGCAAACCGUGCACUCAAUCCUGCCUGAAUGUUCUUCAUCAUACACACUAACGUCAUAAAAUGCUAAUAAAAGGUGCACCACUAUCAAAGUCUGCGCCAAAAUUGAAGCGGUUUGUGUAAUCCUCCAAUAAAAACCAAACGCUGGCCGUAACAUAAAAAUUUACUUUACAGUGACUUCAUCUCGGUAUAAAACUCUGGAACAAACAGGACUUA